GCCCCGGUGGCACAGCGGAUAGCGCGAUCCCCUCCUAAGGGAUAGGUCGGAGGUUCAAUUCCUCCCCGGGGCGCCA
Molecule: transfer RNA, 76 nt
Filed under: Gammaproteobacteria bacterium
Lineage: Bacteria; Pseudomonadati; Pseudomonadota; Gammaproteobacteria
Description: tRNA-Arg
Rfam family: tRNA
About the family: Transfer RNA (tRNA) molecules are approximately 80 nucleotides in length.
Source: RNAcentral